AAAACAAUUAUUUCUAUCUCGGAUUUGUGGUCACGAAACCACUAUUCUGAUUAGGCCCUAAUUCGGGUUGUCACAGCAACCCUCGUGUUUGUUGCCACCGUUGAGUUUGGAACCCUGAGCAGACUACCGGUGAUAAGCCGGAGGAAGGUGAAGAUGACGUCAAGUGAUCAUGCCCCUUAUGCCUUGGGCGACACACGUGCUACAAUGGACGGGACAAAGGGUCGCGAUCCCGCGAGGGUGAGCCAACUCAAAAAACCCGUCCUCAGUUCGGAUUACAGGAUGCAACUCACCUGCAUGAAGCCUGAAUCACUAGUAAUCGCCGGUUAGCCAUACGGUGGUGAAUUUGUUCUCGGGCCUUGUACACACCGCCCGUCACACUAUGGGAGCUAGCCAUGCCCAAAGUCGUUACUUAACCGCAAGGAUGGGGAUGCCGAAGGCAAGGCUAGUGACUGGAGUGAAGUCAUAACAAGGUAGCCGUACUGGAAGGUGCGGCUGGAUUACCUCCUUU
RNAcentral lists this non-coding RNA (508 nucleotides) under Gossypium arboreum. RNAcentral describes it as "Bacterial small subunit ribosomal RNA". It matches the Rfam family "Bacterial small subunit ribosomal RNA", at positions 1064 to 1533 of the family's 1533-position model. Lineage: Eukaryota; Viridiplantae; Streptophyta; Magnoliopsida; Malvales; Malvaceae. The record is from Rfam by way of RNAcentral.